GACGAACUGUCCAAACGUUGUUCGGAAUCACUGGGCUUAAAGGGCGCGUAGGCGGUCGAUCAAGUCAGGGGUGAAAUCCUGCAGCUUAACUGUAGAAGUGCCUUUGAUACUGGUCGUCUCGAGGGAGGUAGGGGUGUGUGGAACUUCCAGUGGAGCGGUGAAAUGUGUUGAUAUUGGAAGGAACGCCGGAGGCGAAAGCGACGCACUGGACCUCUUCUGACGCUGAGGCGCGAAAGCUAGGGGAGCAAACGGG
RNAcentral lists this ribosomal RNA (253 nucleotides) under uncultured bacterium. RNAcentral describes it as "partial 16S ribosomal RNA". It matches the Rfam family "Bacterial small subunit ribosomal RNA", at positions 524 to 776 of the family's 1533-position model. The record is from RNAcentral.